This 253-nucleotide ribosomal RNA is filed under the name uncultured bacterium. RNAcentral's name for it is "partial 16S ribosomal RNA". It matches the Rfam family "Bacterial small subunit ribosomal RNA", at positions 524 to 776 of the family's 1533-position model. The record is from RNAcentral.
UACAGAGGUCCCGAGCGUUGUUCGGAUUCACUGGGCGUAAAGGGUGCGUAGGUGGUGAGGUAAGUCGGAUGUGAAAUCUCCGGGCUCAACCCGGAAACUGCAUUGGAAACUACCUUGCUUGAGGGUUUGAGGGGGGACUGGAAUUCUCGGUGUAGCAGUGAAAUGCGUGGAUAUCGAGAGGAACACCGGUGGCGAAGGCAGCCCCCUGGGUUAACACUGACGCUCAGGCACGAAAGCGUGGGGAGCAAACAGG